GACGAACGCUGGCGGCGUGCUUAACACAUGCAAGUCGAACGGAAAGGCCCUGCUUUUGUGGGGUGCUCGAGUGGCGAACGGGUGAGUAACACGUGAGUAACCUGCCCUUGACUUUGGGAUAACUUCAGGAAACUGGGGCUAAUACCGGAUAGGAGCUCCUGCUGCAUGGUGGGGGUUGGAAAGUUUCGGCGGUUGGGGAUGGACUCGCGGCUUAUCAGCUUGUUGAUGGGGUAGUGGCUUACCAAGGCUUUGACGGGUAGCCGGCCUGAGAGGGUGACCGGCCACAUUGGGACUGAGAUACGGCCCAGACUCCUACGGGAGGCAGCAGUGGGGAAUAUUGCACCAUGGGCGGAAGCCUGAUGCAGCAACGCCGCGUGCGGGAUGACGGCCUUCGGGUUGUAACCCGCUUUCGCCUGUGACGAAGCGUGAGUGACGGUAAUGGGUAAAGAAGCACCGGCUAACUACGUG
This 468-nucleotide ribosomal RNA is filed under the name uncultured bacterium. Its description in RNAcentral is "partial 16S ribosomal RNA". It matches the Rfam family "Bacterial small subunit ribosomal RNA", at positions 28 to 507 of the family's 1533-position model. The record is from RNAcentral.